This is a small nuclear RNA of Myotis lucifugus (little brown bat), 107 nucleotides long. NCBI's taxonomy places the organism in Eukaryota, Metazoa, Chordata, Mammalia, Chiroptera, Vespertilionidae. The record is from Ensembl.
GUGACGGCUUUGGCAGCACACAUACUAAAAUUGGAACAAUACAGAGAAGAUUAGCAUGGGCCCUGCACAAGGAUGACACAUAUACUCAUGAAGUGUUCCAUAUUAAA